GUAGUCGUGGUCGAGUGGUUAAGGCGACAGACUUGAAAUCUGUUGGGAUAUUCCCGCGCAGGUUGGAAUCCUGCCGACUAAG
RNAcentral lists this transfer RNA (82 nucleotides) under Paramuricea clavata. It matches the Rfam family "tRNA". Rfam says of the family: Transfer RNA (tRNA) molecules are approximately 80 nucleotides in length. Their secondary structure includes four short double-helical elements and three loops (D, anti-codon, and T loops). The record is from Rfam by way of RNAcentral. Lineage: Eukaryota; Metazoa; Cnidaria; Anthozoa; Malacalcyonacea; Plexauridae.